This 381-nucleotide unclassified non-coding RNA is filed under the name uncultured Acidobacteriota bacterium. RNAcentral describes it as "uncultured Acidobacteria bacterium contains 16S-23S intergenic spacer region". The record is from RNAcentral. Lineage: Bacteria; Pseudomonadati; Acidobacteriota.
UCCGGCUUAUCGCCGACAGUUCCCUUAGGGUUCUCAGCAUAACCUGUUAGCAACUAAGGGCAAGGGUUGCGCUCGUUGCGGGACUUAACCCAACAUCUCACGACACGAGCUGACGACAGCCAUGCAGCACCUCUAGAGUAGUCCGGUAAAGGACAUUGACAUCUCUGCCAACUUCCACUCCAGUUCAAGCCCAGGUAAGGUUCUUCGCGUUGCGUCGAAUUGAACCACAUAAUCCACCGCUUGUGCGGGUCCCCGUCAAUUCCUUUGAGUUUUAAUCUUGCGACCGUACUCCCCAGGCGGGAAGCUUAAUGCGUUAGCUGCGGCACGGAAUCCGUUGAGUGAAUCCCACACCUAGUGCCCACCGUUUACGGCGUGGACUAC